Molecule: ribosomal RNA, 119 nt
Filed under: Pteropus alecto (black flying fox)
Lineage: Eukaryota; Metazoa; Chordata; Mammalia; Chiroptera; Pteropodidae
Also listed under: 1 other name
Source: RNAcentral
GUCUAUGGCCAUGUCACCCUGAACAAGCCCCAUCCUGUCUGAUCUUGGAAGCUAAGCAGGGUCGAGCCUGGUUAGUACUUGGAUGGGAGACCACCUAGGAAGACCAGGUGCUGUAGGUG